AUUGCAUGUGAGUCCCUCAUUUGGCAGGUUUAGCUGCUUUUAAUACGAUAUUGCUAGCUGCCUUGUGAAGGGCUUACGUGUGAU
Molecule: non-coding RNA, 84 nt
Organism: Drosophila virilis
Lineage: Eukaryota; Metazoa; Arthropoda; Insecta; Diptera; Drosophilidae
Source: Rfam